Xiphophorus hellerii (green swordtail) is the source of this 239-nucleotide long non-coding RNA. RefSeq lists it as uncharacterized. The transcript is spliced from 3 exons. Lineage: Eukaryota; Metazoa; Chordata; Actinopteri; Cyprinodontiformes; Poeciliidae. The record is from RefSeq and is a predicted model, not a curated record.
UUUAUGAUCUUGUUGCUGAGGUGGUUGGAGACACAGUCAUGAGUGUAGAGGGUGUAGAGAAGUGGGCUGAGCACGCAACCCUGUGGCGAUCCGGUGUUCAGGCUCAGAGCAGUGGAGGUGUGGGGGCCCAGCCUGACCCUCUGGGAGCGACCUGUUAGGAAGUUCAGGAUCCAACUGUAGGUGGCUGAUGGGAGCCCAAGGUUUGCUAGCUUGGACACCAGCCAUUUUUCCCAUGUUUU